CUCUAAAGUUAAAAGUUUUUAUUAAGGCUAUUGUAAAGGCUUCUUAAAAAUGAUGUCGCUGAUGAGCCUCUGAUCGCUGUCAGAUUCUGUGAUAUGAAUGUCCGCUAAUGGGUUUAGAAUGAGCCCCGCUCGGCCCGUGUUCUGGCUUACUGUAAUAUUUCACCUGUAAUAAGACCGAAAUAAUAUAAUUAAAAUAAAGAAAUGAAUGAAUACAUGAUAACAUCUAAAUAAAUGUUGAUAGAUUUAGCGUUAUAGUUUUAAAAAUAUUAAUAAACAGCAAAUCAACACAGAAAGACCUAAAUAAUAAUAAUACAUAAUUAAUAAACAGCGCCGCCCCUCCCACUACGCGCAUCACGCGCUGUGCGUCAACCCCAAAGCGUCAAAAACUGAAGCGUGGUCAAGCGCCUCUAGCGUCACUGACAUGAGAUGUUUAUCGCUUUGAAAUCACGUUCAAGAAGUCUCAUUCAGCACACAUCGCGAUACUUUCCAUCAGUUUGCAAGAGCCGCAGGAUGGGUGAGUUAUACAGUCUAUGGUGAGUAGUAGUAAAUAUGCUAUUUUAAUGCCUGUCCUAAAACGUAUUCUGUCUUCUUUAUUAAUCAGAUGAGCGCCUUAUGUUUACUCUCUGUAUUACAUCGGUCAUCCGAGGCUGUCUUUGAGUUUCAUUGUGUUUAACUAAAUGAACACAGCUGCUAACUGGUUAAACUCUAUCGGUCACGUGACGUGACGUGCCACAGACCUGGGAUCCGUUUUAUAUUCAUUUCAGGUUCAAAGAUCUGAAAAGACGUAAAGUAAGCAGUCACCCCAGUGGUGUUUGUGGAGAGGUAUUCCUUCAGAAAUGGAGAAGACAGAAAGCUGCAGAGGCAGGAUUGUUUGCAGAUAAUGCUGUUCUUCUUUUUCAGAAGUUUUUGGUGGGCCAACCCUCACAAACCUUCCUAAAAACUAAAAGAGCUAUUACUGAGUCUCAGCGACUCUUGCCACGAUCAGCUCUUCCCAGAAGAGAAGGAAGACCAAGGAAAUGAUUUGCUCAGGAUGAGAAAUGAAGAUGGUCAUCUUGUGCUCAAGCAAACAGAAGUCCUCUGAUGAUCUCAUCAACCAAAUGAGGGGUUUUGACCAAGUGAUGCUCUUGAAAGGACUGAAAGAAGAGGAUGUGGUAAAUUGUCUUCAGAGAAAAAGCUUCUCAAAAGAUCUUAAAACAGCUUGAAGAAUGGUCUGGGAUCUUAGGACUGAGAGAUCUCACUGGCACCCAGUUAACCUCCAUAGAGAACAUUUAUCAGAAGCGCUGUCUGGGCAGGGCAAGAAACAUCAUCAAGGAUGCCUCUCACCCUAACCAUGGACCUUUCACCCUCCUUCCAUCCGGCAGGCGUUACAGGAGCCUACGCUCUCGAACUAGUAGACUCAGGAAGAGCUUCUUCCCCGAGGCUGUGACACUCCUGAACGUCACACCACCAAUCUAACCUGCACCUGCUCUUUUACUGCACUGGUCACAGUACUUUACAUACAUGUAUUGCACUACUCAUAUUUUGCACAGACUGCACAUGGUUAAAUCCAUUACACUAUAAACUGUCUAAAGCUGUUACUGUUCAAGCACAGUAAACUAUUUCUACAAUAAAUAUAAUUGCACUACUAUUAUUUUGCAUAUAAUAAAUUGGUAAACUAUACUUUUGCACACUCAUUCAACUGUAUUUAUUACCACUGUUCUCAAGUUCCUGCUAUUCAUAAUGUAUAUAUAAUUCUUCUUUGCUCUGUUCAUAAUGUACAUACAAUCCCUACAUUACAUUCAUAUUUAUAUUCUGUAUAUACUCUGAUCAAUAUUGUAUAUAGCAACUCCACUGUAAAUUCUGUAUUUCAUAGCUUUACUUACUCUGCACUUUUAUGUAUAUAAAACACUAUAUUCUUGCACUUCUGGUUAGAUGCUAACUGCAUUUCAUUAGCUCUGUACUUGUACUCUGCAUAAUGACAAUAAAGUUGAAUCUAAUCUAAUCUAAUCUUCUGGCUGAGAACAAGCUACACCACAUCAGUGCUGGAUAUCAACCAAAAGCUGUUUCCAGACACGAGAGAAGAUCACGAUGAAACCAGUUUAGAUGUGUUGAUAAGGAAUCAUUAUUUUCUGAAACAGUAUCAAAUGUCUUAUAUGUAUCACAUGAUCUGUAUCACAGUUGACUGGAUGGGACUGUGACUUUUAAGGACAUUUCAUCACUCAUCUGUGUGAACUGAUUAAU
Molecule: long non-coding RNA, 2220 nt
Organism: Carassius gibelio (silver crucian carp)
Lineage: Eukaryota; Metazoa; Chordata; Actinopteri; Cypriniformes; Cyprinidae
Exons: 6
Source: RefSeq, a predicted model, not a curated record